CUGAGACAAGAGUUUCACUCUUGUUGCCCAAGCUGGAGUGCAAUGGUGCAAUCUCGGCUCACUGCAACCUCCAACUCCCGGGUUCAAGCGAUUCUCUCACGUCAGCCUCCCGAGUAGCUGGGAUUACAGGCACCUGCCACCAUGCCCAGCUAAUUUUUGUAUUUUCAGUAGAGACGGGGUUUCACCAUGUUGGCCAGUCUGGUCUUGAAGCCCUGACCUCAGGUGAUCCACCUGCCUCAGCCUCCCAAAUUGCUGGGAUUACAGGCGUGAGCCAAUGUGCCCAGCCAGUUGCAUAUUCUUGACCCAAACACAGACAGUUCCCCCAAGUUCAAAACCACAACGAGCAGCCCACACGAAGGCAUACUCUGAGGGUUGUUUCACUGUUACAGCAGUACAUAUUUCGAAGAGACAACAGAUUCCAUUUCAGAUGCUUCUCAAGAAAGAAAAAGUUCUUUGACAGAAUCUCUACUCCAGGUCUCUCUCUCUCUUUUUUUUUUUUUUUUUUUUUUUUUGAGAUGGAGUCUCGCUCUGUCUCCCAGGCCAGAGUACAGUGGCACGAUCUCGGCUCACUGCAACCUCCGCCUCCUGGGUUCACGCCAUUCUCCUGCCUCAGCCUCCCGAGUAGCUGGGACUACAAGUGCCCGCCACCACGCCCGGCUAAUUUUUUGUAUUUUUAGUAGAGAUGGAGUUUCACCAUGUUAGCCAGGAUGUAACUGUAAUUUCCUUAUGAAGAAAACUAAAGCUAUGAUGUACUAUAAAACAUAUAGCAUUUCAAGGCAGCCAAUUAUCCAAAACAUAUUAACUGGUAAAUUAAAUAUACCUGUUGGUUAUCUUGUUUGGAACAGGAGGGAGGCUAUUAUUAGGUAGAGAGUAAGCACCAUGUCACUUUACAUAGUCCAUUUAUAUCCACAUGAUGGCAGACUGCUCUUUGACAAUGAAGAAGCAUAGAAUUUAUUUGUUUUACUUUGGUAAACUGACUUUGGCUAUCAACAGACUUAAUGUCCAAGUCUUAUAACAUUUUUCAAAUAUGUUUAAAAUUUAGUUUUUCCAAAAAAUCAAAGCACUGUACACUAAAAAUAGAAUAUAAGGCAGUGAAAUCAAAUCCUGGCUCACUUGAAGAAAUAACAGUCUGUGGGCAACUGGUUGUUUCUCAGGUCACCUCAGGGGACAGAUGGUCCCUAAGGUGCAAAAGAAUGAACUGGUGCUGAUAUAUGACUGAUAAGUUUCUGUAACGGGCCACUGACCAUUUCAAUUCCCAAGGAACAUAAAUUACCUUUUAGCCUGUGUAUUUACACACAAAUAUGCAACCUGCAAACUUCUUCUGAGGACAGAUGUCAACUACUUUUUCAUUUUUUUUUUUUUACAGUCAAAGUAGUAAACUUGCAGAUAUAUCUAAAACCAAUUUUCAAACCAGCUUCAUAACAUAUGCUGUAAGUAAAUAAAUACCAAAACCUGAUAACACUAGCAUGGAGAAAAGAAAAGCUGAAUUAAAAAGACAUUCCUUUAC
RNAcentral lists this long non-coding RNA (1507 nucleotides) under Homo sapiens (human). Its description in RNAcentral is "non-protein coding lnc-MMP28-4:2". The record is from RNAcentral. Lineage: Eukaryota; Metazoa; Chordata; Mammalia; Primates; Hominidae.